This is a non-coding RNA of Acanthosepion pharaonis, 110 nucleotides long. The record is from the annotation of a GenBank genome assembly. NCBI's taxonomy places the organism in Eukaryota, Metazoa, Mollusca, Cephalopoda, Sepiida, Sepiidae.
ACGGCCACAUUACUUUGAAACUUAUGUUCCUGUACGAUCACCAAAGUUAAACAACGUCGAGCGUGGUCAGUACCCAGAUGGGUGACCGCUUGGGAAUACCAGGUACUGUA